UAGGCGGUCCUUUUUCCAUUGAUGAAUUUCUUCACUACAUGGUACACGUGAGCUUAAAUUUUUUUGAAACAUGAACUUCGCAUGCUAUUGAAAAUCAAGAAAAUUACACAACUAUAUACAUACACUUCAUGUGCUGUGUGCACGACCAACACAUUAGCAAGCUUAGUGCCAACAUAUACAUAAGUAGCAGCACACUAAUAUUACAUUGUUUUUGUUCUGAUCAUUCAGAAUGUUGUAUCUUCCAAGAGGAUGGAGAAUGAUAAAUCUACAGGAAGACCAUAUGUAGAAAAGCAACAUCAUAAUCUUUAACCAUGGACAACAGCAAGUUCAAACACAAAACCAAGGACUAUAAUAGCUAAACUCUCAUAGAAAUCUCUCUCUAGCAUUCUAGUUGAACUUCAACAGUAGCGCACCAACAUUAGCUAGAGGGCGAGGCAGGCCGCAGCAACAGCUGCUAACAGCGACCAGCAAAUGGAGGCUGGGUCGUGACGGCGGCACCGAGAUGGAGGAGGUGCCAGGGCAUGGCAGGCAAAAAUAACUGUGAUUGAAUAGUCUCAAUCAGGUAGGUAGGCGUUACAAGAAAAGAAAUAGCAAGUACAUCAAGUUUCAGUGCCUCUUUCACACACAGAUGUACAACAAAAUUGGCAUACCUUCUUAUAUAGAUGAACUUGAACCCCUAAAAACUUGUGAGAUAUGAACAUCUUUCGAAAGCCAUCGACCGCCUCAAAAAAAUCCCUGGAAUCCUCUGACAUCGUGCAUCAAACUUGGUCUUCAGUCUCAAUAAUAUUAUUUCAGAAUCCUUUUUUCAAUCGCCAUCAACAUGGUUGUCAUUGCAGGCAAACUAUCAACUUUACGAUUCUAAAAGUACUAGCUUUUGGCAAAAUGUGUACAAGCUACUCAAGAAAUUGAAGAUAGUUGCAAACAACAUACGAGCUACAGCCUAGCGAUUUUUGCAAGUACGUGAGUGAAGACUUGUGAUUGUUCUGAUUCUGAACUUCACAUUUUUCUGAUUCUGAACUUGUGAUUGUUCUUUUUUCGCAGGGUGCAGUGCAACUGCCGGUGUUGGGAGGCUGGCUUCGCUCCAUCAGGUAGCUUCGUCCACCGCCGCACAGGACGGCGAGGAGGGGAUGAAGGAAAGACAGACCUGGCAGCAAGCGGGGGAGGAGCCGGAGCAGCGCCAUGUCGGGGAUGCAUGGUGUCAGCAGCUAUGUUUUUUAUAAAACCUAAAUCACUUCACAGAACAUAGUUAAAUAUUUUAACAUCACAAAAAGCUAUGUUUUUUUAUACAAGAAGUUGUUUUUCUAGGUAGUAGCACGUGCUUGCGUUGCACACGUUCCUCUACCACACACAUAUUUAUCCUCUCACGUGCUUCCAUUCUCCCCCUGUUUAACUCUGAACUCGUGUUGCACUACCAAAAGCUAACAGCAAAUGCAAUCCUAAUUAACAUACGAUGCAGAGCAUCAUCUCCGGUCAAAGCGAGGAAGCCUUAAUUGACAAAAUUGCAAAAAAUUUGUACUUCCGGCCUUGGGUGUGCUGGGCAGCGGCGGUGCGCUUUUCUUGUUGUUGAAUCCACGAGUGAUCCAACUAACACAAAGUCAAGUUGAACUCCAUGUUUUUUUUAGAGGGAAACCUUGUGUUCAGCAGCCAUGUCCUUGUCGUUUCAAUCGUAUGAACUUCAUAGGAAUUGGGAAUGAAACUCGUGGCUGGUGUUACCUUCUUUUUGCUAGCCAUCUGAUUGAGGAAAGAGAGCACCCGCUGGUUGCCGAGAGAGCCUGGAUCGCGCCAGGAUCUGUUCCAUUCAUGAACACAAACAUAUGAGCUGAGACCACGAGAGAAGCUAAAAGUACACAACUCGAACACCGGUCAUGAAAUUUUCUGCACCGCAAACGUUGUUGAAUCCAUUUCUUUAACUGUUAAGAACGGAUGGUUUUCUUUUGUCAACGAUCUCUUCUAACAUAUGUGCUAAAACUGCUAAAAAUGAGCAUUUUUGCUAUAAUGCAUAUAAUGAACCUCUUAAUUUCAGACAUGAAAACUAAAUAAUUGUGUUUAUACGCAGUCGAACUGAUUCACAGAGGAGAUGAGGAGGUUGACAGAGAGAGAUGGUUGCAGCCGAAGCCGGUAUAGGCGGCUGGCCGCGCCACCGAAGCGCCGGUGAAAGGGAGUGCCGUCGCCAACAGCGGGAGAUGAGGCACGUGGAGGCACAGGGUCAGCGGCCGCUGGCUCGAGGAAUAGCAUGUAAAAACCAAAACUGAAAAAUUCAGUACACAUUCUGUCGAACAUGAAAACUAGAAAAUUCUGUUCAUCUUCAGAAAGGAAGAUGCUGUAGCAACUAGAUUUGUAGGAGAAGCAUCAUGCUAGAAUAAGUUAGACUGCACAUAUUCUUCUUUUGUGAACUUCUGCAACUAUAUGCAGGUCGUGGGGAGGUGAGCGGCGGCAGCACACGCGAGCAUGGUCGCUUCUAUACAUUAUACAUUGCUGCUAACCAAAAUCACAAAACAUGCUGAACGUGUAUGGGAUGGAAGUGGUGUGCUCAGCCUCACCUUGACUGUUGUGGACUGCUGCUCGCGAUGGCCUCGACCUCCCUGACACAGCGCGGCUGGACUGGGAUGGCGCUUGGUUUCGUUGGGUUAAUCGGGAGGAGGCGGAGGUGUGGUAUUCAGGAUGAGGAAGAAGGGCGGCGCGGGAGUUCCACCUGGAGGAAGAAGGGCGCCUGAGGCUAGGAUGGUUGGGGCGACGCCGGUUGAUUCGGGGGAAGGGGAGGGGUAGCGCGGUGGCGGAGGAAGCCAGAUCCGAGCGCGCCGGGAGGGAUGACAGAGUGUGAUUGGGACGGAUAGGCAGCAAGAGGAGGCGCGCGACCUCUGCGCCCUGCAGGGGCGGUGCUGGUCGCCGGUGGAGGUCCAGCAGCUGGAGACACGCUGGGAUCCGAGGCGGGCGACGCGAGGCGUGCUGGGGACGAGGGGCAGGCGGGGGUUGGACGGCGACGGGAGGCUCGCCGGGGCAGUGGGAGCGGCGGCGGGAGGCGCGGCAGGGCCAGGGAGGCAGCGGCGGGAGGCGCACCGGAGCCAGGGGCCGGCAGCGGAAGGCAGUCGGGCGGA
Molecule: long non-coding RNA, 3095 nt
Filed under: Triticum aestivum (bread wheat)
Lineage: Eukaryota; Viridiplantae; Streptophyta; Magnoliopsida; Poales; Poaceae
Description: long non-coding RNA (TAES_LNC008702)
Source: RNAcentral